Molecule: RNA transcript, 3191 nt
Organism: Nerophis ophidion (straightnose pipefish)
Lineage: Eukaryota; Metazoa; Chordata; Actinopteri; Syngnathiformes; Syngnathidae
Exons: 8
Source: RefSeq, a predicted model, not a curated record
CCGCAUGAUUAUCAACAAGUCACAAGACAGUGUGCAUUCUCAAUUCCUGUGUGGAAGUGUAGGGGAACACAUAAAAGUAACAAAGGCAAUGUAUCAACUACAGAAAAAAGCUGCAAGGCUUAUUCAUAAAGUAGAUUACUUACAAGACACUAACAUAUUAUUUAUUAAUUCUGGUCUAUUGAAACUUCUGGAGCUAGUAAAGCUACAGACAUUGUGUGUCCUGUUCAAGGCUAAAGGUAAAACAUUACCAGCAAAUUUACAAAAAAUGUUUGUCAUCACUUCUGAGAGUACAGAGCAUAGAAGAAAAGGUCAUUUCAAACAGCAAUAUUCAAGGACAACUUUAAAACAAAUGUGUACAUCUGUGGUGGGAGUGAAAUUGUGGAAUUCUCUUUACAAUGAGAUAAAAGAUUGUAGAAAUAUAUUCCAAUUGAAAAAAAUAUAUAAAGAUAGAACAAUAAGAUCAUAUGGACAGCCAUAAGUGAUUACAUUUUGCUUUUUAUUUAUUAUUUCACUUAUUUUUUUGUCUGGUUUUGUAUUUGCUUUGUAUCAUUCCGUGAGGUGUAUAUUAUUAUUAUUAUUUCCUCUGUUUGGUUUAUAAUUUAUGAAGUUUUGCACUUGUUGUGUUUCCUUUGUGUUUUUUAAUUGUUUCAUUACAUUUGGAUGUAUUUAUUGGUUUAAAUUAUAUCCAUGACGUAAGACUAUGUAUUAUGUCAAAGAGGGCAGGAAACUAUAAGAUAUUUCUUCAUCCUGCUCCUUCUCAGGCAUUGUUGUGUGAAUUUAAAGUUGUAUAAUUGAGGUAUAAUUGUCUAUCGAUCAAAGAUGCCCAUCAAUGAAGGAGGUAAAUAAAAAUGAAAUGAAAAUGAAAGGAAAGUUAUUACUGUGUUUCCUGGUCUUGUGACUUUGCGCACGGGCCAAAAACUCUGCUGCGUGUCUGUGUGGACAUCUUGUGUGCCGCUGUGGUAUUAUUAUGAGUGUGUAUUAUUUAUUUCUUUAUUCUUUAGUGGAGAAAGAUCCUGUUGACUGUGGACUGUGUGUGACGUGUUGUUUGUUUCCAUUAAAAAAAAGGUAUGUCUGUUAUGAGUUUUUUGGCAUAGUUAAUUGUAGAAAAAAAAUAUAAAAUGAGUUGAUGUGAGUGGGAAAAAUGAGGUAUUUUGCUGCACAUAGUAAGGAUCCUUUUUCUUGAUAUACAUUUUUGUUAUUUGCUGAUGAAUAUAUUUUAUAUACUGUUCUUUAUUUAAUUAAUUAGAGACUAUGUUAUGCUUUAUUUACCUUUUAUUAUUAUUAUUAUUAUUAUUCCUUCCACACGUAAGCAUAAAUGAUUGAGUUGAGAGCACUGACGCUCGGAUGUGGAGAGAGAUCUUGUUUACUGUGGACUGUGUGUGAGAUGCCCUGUUUUUGUUUCCAUUCAAAAAAAAAGAAAAGGUGAAAAAAUCCUGCACAUCAACUCCUGUGUGUGCAUCACUAUAAAAGACACAACGCAGAACAGUGACUGUUACAUAUGUAAUGUAUUUUGCAAAGUGUCUAUCUGCAAUCUUUAUAAUUAAAAUGAAUGAAUUAGAAAUUUGUCAUUUUAAUCACUGUUUAUGUCGGUUCAGACAACUAAUGUAUUUUGGGCCUGUUCAUAAUUUCUUAUGCUACUGUAUGGAACUUGGUCCCAUCUUCUAUUUUGUGUGUUUUGCAGCAUCAUCUAUUGCCUGGAUUGCCUGGAUUUUUGCCUACAAUGGCUCCUGCUGCGUUUGCUUAAUCAACACAAACAUGAAUACAAAGACUGUGCCUGUCUCUUUAUCAACUUUAAGACGAAGGACACGUGUGGACGUUCAAAAAGGCUGGCCAAGAUAUGACGUUUCUGUUGUCCGAACUUGUGACAACUACAAAGACGCAUUAAAAAUAAUGCAACAAUAUCGAAACGGCUGCAACACCUCAGACCUGCAAUCUGAGGCAGAGAAUGAGGUUGAGCUGCCAGAAAAAACGAACAGGAAGCCAGUUUACCCAACAGCCAUCGUCUCGGGGACUCGGAUGAUAGCGAGGAAGACCCGGGAAAUGGUGACCUCGCAUCUCUGGGGUUGGCAAGCCAAUUGCACUGGCAGACUCCACCGUCUCGCCGAGUGCCAGCAAGAGUCAUUAGAACUCGUCAACUCAACUCUUCAACUGGAGAUAACUUUCUAGCACCUCACCAUGGGGAAGGGCGUAUUCAUAUGACUUCACCAGCACCUGCAUUAAACAUGCAGAGAGUUACACAAAGUAGGGACUGGGAACGACAGUCCCUCCUCAACUCCCUCCAGCCCCUGCACCAGCCCUCAACAUGUGGCAGACAGAGGAGCCUGGAUCCAGACUGGCCUACAGGCCAACAUGGCGAGGGGGAAGAAUGGCCGACAACAUUUCCCGCUCUGCGGCUGAGGUCCAGAUCCUUAGCCUGCUGGAAACUAUUAAACACACCCAAGACCAGCUGAUGGCGAAGGUCAACUUCUUAACCAGCAGGUUGACCAUUGCCCCGGGGCCAAAAGUGGAAAUGCCAGCCAAUAUCCAGUUUCCACUGGAACAGUUGGAAGCAGUGGAGGCAUUUGACGCAUUAUUGAAUGAACCUUCAAAUGGCCCAGCUCGACAAAGAGUGGUGAGGUUUCUUACUUAAUAUGAAUGGUGCCAUUAGGUUUAUUGAUUGUCCAUGAUUAUGCAAAUAUUCUAUUGAAUCAGCCCUGACAACCAGGCAGGUCCUGAACCGCCUUUUCCCAGUGGUAAGAUUAUGUCAGUGAGCCACAAUCUGCCUGGUUUGACAUCGUGUGUAAAGGUAGCAUUACAUUUCUGGACGCUUUCAACAAGAAAAAAUACAUUUUAAAUGCAACUUAAACUUAAACAUGUUUACCUGUUUGUGUAAAGCGAUGUCUAUGCCUUUUAGAUUUCUUCUUUGGCCACCAUAUGAGGCCAGGAUGUGAAGCAGGUGACCUGGAACAUCCUGGGCAGGAUCUUCACAGAUGACGUUUCACAUCAAAUCAAUUGGAAAGGUGUCAACAUCAAAAAGGCCUUUAGCAGGAUUGUAACUAUGACCUUGCUUUUCAGUACAGUAAGAAAAAAUGUGACAAGGUCAGCCACAGACGCUGAGGUCACCAAACACGCAAUCAGGUGGUUCAACCUGGCGGCGGAUCAGGCAGCGUGGAGACGAGUCCCGCCUCCACCUCCACAGACAGAGGAACAGA